Molecule: transfer RNA, 75 nt
Filed under: bacterium
Lineage: Bacteria
Also listed under: 2 other names
Description: tRNA-Thr
Rfam family: tRNA
About the family: Transfer RNA (tRNA) molecules are approximately 80 nucleotides in length. Their secondary structure includes four short double-helical elements and three loops (D, anti-codon, and T loops).
Source: RNAcentral
GCCGAUGUAGCUCAGUGGUAGAGCAACUGAUUCGUAAUCAGUAGGUCACCGGUUCAAUCCCGGUCAUCGGCUCCA